UGCCAGCUCUCUGGGGC
RNAcentral lists this unclassified non-coding RNA (17 nucleotides) under Mus musculus (house mouse). Its description in RNAcentral is "oocyte_clustered_small_RNA2945". The record is from RNAcentral. Lineage: Eukaryota; Metazoa; Chordata; Mammalia; Rodentia; Muridae.